CCCUUAGAUGUCCGGGGCCGCACGCGCGCUACAAUGGAUGAAUCAACGCGUCAUCCUGGCCCGAAAGGGUUGGGGAACCGCUGAACCUCAUCCGUGGUUGGGAUUGGGGUUUGUAAUUAUUCCCCAUGAACUAGGAAUUCCCAGUAAGCGCGAGUCAUAAGCUCGCGUUGAUUACGUCCCUGCCCUUUGUACACACCGCCUGUCGCUACUACCGAUUGGAUGGUUUAGUGAGAUCCUCGGAUUGGUCACGGCACGGUGGCAACACUGCGUCGGUGUGCCGAGAAGACGAUCAAACUUGAUCAUCUAGAGGAAGUAAAAGUCGUAACA
RNAcentral lists this ribosomal RNA (327 nucleotides) under uncultured eukaryote. Its description in RNAcentral is "partial 18S ribosomal RNA". It matches the Rfam family "Eukaryotic small subunit ribosomal RNA", at positions 1470 to 1796 of the family's 1831-position model. The record is from RNAcentral.